GACGAACGCUGGCGGCGUGCCUAAUACAUGCAAGUCGAACGAACCGCGACUAAGUGCUUGCACUAAGUCAAGGUGAGUGGCGAACGGGUGAGUAACACGUGGGUAACCUACCUCAUAGUGGGGGAUAACAGUCGGAAACGACUGCCAAUACCGCAUAGGACAUAGGAUCACAUGAUCCAGUGAGGAAAGGUGGCGCAAGCUAUCGCUAAGAGAUGGACCCGCGGUGCAUUAGCUAGUUGGUAGGGUAAAGGCCUACCAAGGCGAUGAUGCAUAGCCGACCUGAGAGGGUGAUCGGCCACAUUGGGACUGAGACACGGCCCAAACUCCUACGGGAGGCAGCAGUAGGGAAUCUUCCGCAAUGGACGCAAGUCUGACGGAGCAACGCCGCGUGAGUGAAGAAGGUCUUCGGAUCGUAAAGCUCUGUUGUUAGAGAAGAACAGCGCAUAGAGUAACUGCUAUGCGUGUGACGGUAUCUAACCAGAAAGCCACGGCUAACUACGUG
RNAcentral lists this ribosomal RNA (502 nucleotides) under uncultured bacterium. RNAcentral describes it as "partial 16S ribosomal RNA". It matches the Rfam family "Bacterial small subunit ribosomal RNA", at positions 28 to 507 of the family's 1533-position model. The record is from RNAcentral.